This is a long non-coding RNA of Formica exsecta, 1147 nucleotides long. RefSeq lists it as uncharacterized. NCBI's taxonomy places the organism in Eukaryota, Metazoa, Arthropoda, Insecta, Hymenoptera, Formicidae. The record is from RefSeq and is a predicted model, not a curated record. The transcript is spliced from 2 exons.
AAAAAAAAAAAAAAAUUCGAGCCAUCUCCUUCUCCAAUUGGGAACACUGACUUUAUCGUUUAAAUCGUUCGACUUUUUCUUUUAUUAGAAAAAAAAAAACGGUUUUUGUACAUCUCUAACUUUGUCCAUAUAAUUAUCUCACUCUCACUUUCACAUAUAAUCUUGAUUUAUUCAUGGACUAAGAAUCGAUGAUAUGACUCGGUAUAAUUUUGUUUUUCUAUAAAAGCGCCGCGGAAAGAUUUGCGUUGUCAACGAGAUAACGAUCUACGCUGGAUCGAUCGAUAGAUAUUUCGAGCCCUGUUCGAAGGACGCGAUUAAUCUUAAAGAGCCGACAACAGGUAUGACAAAUUGUGCUAAUUAGUUUCGCCAAGACGUCAAAGAUGCCAAGUCGUCCUACUAGCACGAUAAUCUCUGAACCGAACAAACGCGAGGGAAAGACUUUCGCGAACGCGGCCCCGUCUUUCCUUCCUCGCAGGACGCAUGCGACGACAAUGAUGAUGACGAUGACGACGAUGACGGAAAUUAGCGGUUUCUAUUUCGUGCUCGCCCAACGUGAAAGGCACGGGACGGAUUGAAUCGGACGAGGUGUCAUUAUGGGCGAAAUAACGGUCUGUUCCUUCAACGAGGACGACGCGAACAAUAGUUAUUUAUCCGAGAGAUCAGCCCUCCGCUGAGAAAAGGGGAAAUUGAAGGAAGUGCAAUGCUUGUGAAAGGGAAAAGAAAAACGAUGAUUCCAGGUGAAUCAAUGGAGGCUUCCUUAAUGGAUUCGCUUAAUUUUUUCUACGACUCUCACGGAUCUUCUCCCCGUCGUCGCGACUGUUGAGAGCAACCCCUCCAGUACCGGGGAGGAAACUUUCCCUAUGAGUGAAAGCGGUGCUAAGGUCAUGGGCGCAGUCGGAAAAUUGUCGAGUAAACCGGUUCUCUCGCGAGUAUCACCGAUUCUUCGAUCGAUCCAUCGUCGCCGUCAUUCUCAUCGAUAUGUAUGUACGACAUAUAGUGCUUUAUGCCGUGCUUCUUUUUGUGGAAAUAAAAUGACUGCAGGAUAUAUAUACAUAAAACACGAUUGCGCGAUUUCUCUCGCACGCGAUUGCUAUCAUAGAGAAAAGUAUGAUUGGCAGCAGACAAUAAAAAAAAAAAAAAAAAAACC